GAAACUCCUUCAGCCACUUACCUUUCUCUAGCACCGUGCUCCCUCGGCACUGGUGACCUCUCUUCCCCCUGCCGACGUCAGAUCCGCAUGCGCGGCAAGAGACACGUACGCAUUCAAACCGCCCAUAGGAAAGCAUUACUCAAUGCUUUCCCAUGGACGUCCAGCGUCUUCUCACUGUGAUUUUCAUAGUGAGAAUUGUGGAAUCACCUCUAGCGGCUGUCAGUGAGACAGCCACUAGAGGCUGGAUUAACCUUCAGUGAAACAUAGCAGUUUCUCUGAAACUGCUAUGUUUUCAGCUGCAGGGUUAAAAUUAGAGGGACCUGGCACCUAGACCACUUCAUUGAGCUGAAGUGGUCUGGGUGCUUAUAGUGGUCCUUUAAGGGGACAGGAAUACUUCACCCAGAUCACUUCAAUGAGAUGAAGUGGUUUGCGUACCUAUAAUGUCCCUCUAAUAUCCUUCCACAAUGCAGAAGAGACCUGAAAUUAAGGAAGAGUGAGAUUAAGUCAGAAGAGUGACUAAUUAUCACUCGUAAUAAAAGAGAAUUUAUUUUUUAUUUUUUGUAGAAAUAAUAUAUUCAAUUAUAAUACUACUAAUCUCUAUAGCACAUUUGGAAAGUAUAAAAUGUAUUUUAUUUAUAUCAAUAACGGACAGGCAACCUCUUCAUUCUAUAAUAGAACCCAACACAAUGUAAUGUCAGUUAUAGUAAACUAUAAAAGAAAUAAAAUUUUAUGUUGAGAGCCAAUAAACUAAGUUUAAUCAAUAUUAAAGCAUUUGUAUAUACUUUUUGUAUUUUUAUUACUGGUCAGUUUUUACCCAGUAGGCCAUCCAUCUGGUUCGAAUGCAAAUGGUUAAUUUGACCAUUGCGUAAUUACAACAGCACAUUUAAGAAUUUGUUUUCCUCUGCACCUUUAUUUAAGAUAAAUUUCAUGGGGGGAGGGAGGGGCGCAUUUGCCCUGUGUAAAUUCAUGAGUUUGAAUUUGUGUGUUUUAAUUCACGAGUUUGAAUUCAGCAGUUUUAAGUCGCUUAAAUAUAUAUAUAAAUGUUUGUCCUGAGGAAAGUUACCAUGUUGAACUGAAACGUUGGUGUGGUUUUUUUUUUUUGGUUUUUUUUCCAAGUAAAGCAUUGUUUUUUGAAAAACCUGGUGUGCUGAUUUUUUUCCCUGUGUGUUUGUGUUUACAAGACUUAUUGUCAUUUUUUUUCUAUGCAAAAUAUUACUAUGUGAUUAAAAGACAAUUGUCACCAAUAAAUUUGUUUUUUGUUUUCAG
Molecule: non-coding RNA, 1266 nt
Organism: Pelobates cultripes (western spadefoot toad)
Lineage: Eukaryota; Metazoa; Chordata; Amphibia; Anura; Pelobatidae
Source: the annotation of a GenBank genome assembly